Molecule: long non-coding RNA, 165 nt
Filed under: Bos grunniens (domestic yak)
Lineage: Eukaryota; Metazoa; Chordata; Mammalia; Artiodactyla; Bovidae
Description: lncRNA (ENSBGRG00000025650.1)
Source: RNAcentral
UCUUGUCGCGGCGUUCUUCACCAAGGAUUUUCCACAUCAAAAGACCAAAAUAAAUUCCCAGCUGAACUUGGAAAGAGCUGAGGACAAAGAAACCCAGAAAGAAAUCUUCUUAGAUUCCCCCUAAUCUCUGUAAGUGGUUCUUUGGAUCCCUCGUCACAUGGCUUU